AUAUAUUUGUUAUUUUCUGUCACACAAAACCCUCUGCCCAAAUUUCUUCAAAUCCAUCGAAUCCAUCUAAUUUCUUUGAAUUGCAAUGCCUAAAAUACUCAAAUUUCAUCUCACAGUAGUUCAUUUCGUAAUGGAUUCGAAGAAAUUUGAAGGAUAUAUAUAACCACACACAAAGAAAUGAAGGAUUUAGGGUUUAAGAUUGACCCUUUUGUUGUUACUUCUUCUAAUUCUCUUUAUUCAUCAUCAUAUAUGUUUUGCAUUUAAAUUCAUUCAAGGGUUUUCAUUGUCAUUGAUAGUGAUGUUGUUGUUGUUAGUGGUGGUGGAUCCUCUCUCUUUCUCUAUUUGUACAGAAUUAGGCCAACGCCUAAUUCAAUGGUAGUAUUUGUGGGACGUCUGCAAUGGUAGUACCGUAGAGUCUAUAUCUCUCUACCCUUUUGAUAUCUGCUAAUUUUGUUUAUGAUGGUUUUGAUGCAUAAUUUUAAUUUCUAGUAGUUCAAUAAAUGGUAAACUAUUUUUCAUAGGUUGGUGUCGGCGAUUGUUUUCUGUUAAAGUAAUUGCGUAUCUAAUGAGGUUUUUGAACGCCUUUGUGUUUUCAUUAGAUUGUUUUUUGUCUUUGUCUAGAAACUUUCAGCAUAUAAGCUAUGGCCGAAAAAGAAAAGAACUAUGUUCUCUUUGAGAAACUUGCAUUUAUUAGAACUUGUUGCUUGCUUUCUCUAAGUUUGAUUCUCUAAUAAAUUUCUUGAUUCUAAUUUAUUUUGUCAACAAAGUUUUGAUUCUAGUUUUUGACUUCUGUUUGGCUUUUAAGUUGUUGCUAGCGGUGUUAGUUUAUUUUGCAUACAAAUUUCUUUUGAUUCUAAUUUGCUUCUUGUCGUCACACAGGAUUGUUUCAAGGCACUUUGGAGUUCUCACAAUUUUAUCCAAUUGAAAUGCCAAAUUUUCUUCUCCGACUAUUGAAACUCUAGCAGAACAAAAUGCAGCCUCGCAUAGCGAUGGUAAGUAAGGCAAAUGGCUACGUUGAAAGAACCUUCCAGAGGCAUGCAUUGAUCAGAGUAGGAAAUCUUCUUUGUACUUAGAUGGAAGAUGCAGUCCUUAAAACAUAUGUCUUAGACUUACCUUACUAUAUUUUUAAUGCUUCGAAAACUUAAUUGAGAGCAUUCCUGGUUCCAGUGAGUGGUCCAAAUGGGAAAUGUCCAUGGUCAGGUAGAAGGAAUUAAUCCAAGUGAAAAGGCAUUGUCAAUUGGCUCUCAUUUGGUGAAGCAUUGAUUACUUACCUCUUCUUAUAGUAGAUUUGUUUUACUUCCCUGCAUUACCAGUUCAAGAUG
Long non-coding RNA from Capsicum annuum, 1322 nucleotides. RefSeq lists it as uncharacterized. The transcript is spliced from 2 exons. NCBI's taxonomy places the organism in Eukaryota, Viridiplantae, Streptophyta, Magnoliopsida, Solanales, Solanaceae. The record is from RefSeq and is a predicted model, not a curated record.